Brienomyrus brachyistius is the source of this 623-nucleotide long non-coding RNA. RefSeq lists it as uncharacterized. The record is from RefSeq and is a predicted model, not a curated record. NCBI's taxonomy places the organism in Eukaryota, Metazoa, Chordata, Actinopteri, Osteoglossiformes, Mormyridae. The transcript has 3 exons.
CGGUUUGACAAGGUGCCGAGUGGCGGACCUUAUAGCUGGAAAUGCACUGUCCCCGCAGCACGCGCUCCGCCGCGAGCUCUUCGCCAUCUGAAAUUGCCCAGGCCUGUCAUCGGCCGUAAUAACACGGGGGGGGGGGACACUUCUGUCGUGGCAAUGCCCAAGACUGCACACCGGACUGGGACAUUUCUAGGAAGAAUUUCAGAAGUAUUGCUACCGGGAGCCGAUGUAGGAGAAAACCACAGCACCCAGUAAGGCCCAGAUGACCGCGUGGGGAGCACGCAACCAUCACACACAUGGAACUAGGAUGGGAAUAGAAUCCAUAACCCUGGAGCUUUUCCAGCCAAAAAAAAAAAAUGUAAAAAUUCACCAGAAAAGAUGGCGUGAACCAGCUAGUAUAUCUCUGGACCCUUAUGCUCCUUCAGAAACGCUCUCCUGGAAGAAGAUCAUACUGGAAGCCUUCCCACCAGCCUGCUCCCCCCCCGCCCCCAUGUGAGAAUCAGAUGGGCACCUGGGAGAGAGUGGGCGGCCGAGGAGGCGGGGCUCAGAACAUGCCUUGUGUCCGCAUCCCGUAGUGGAAAAGAAGCAGGUUAAACUUUAACCAGUCCUGCCUGUUUUUGAUUGAC